Molecule: ribosomal RNA, 497 nt
Filed under: uncultured bacterium
Lineage: Bacteria
Description: partial 16S ribosomal RNA
Rfam family: Bacterial small subunit ribosomal RNA
Source: RNAcentral
GAUGAACGCUGGCGGCGUGCCUAAUACAUGCAAGUCGAGCGAACAGACGAGGAGCUUGCUCCUCUGACGUUAGCGGCGGACGGGUGAGUAACACGUGGAUAACCUACCUAUAAGACUGGGAUAACUUCGGGAAACCGGAGCUAAUACCGGAUAAUAUAUUGAACCGCAUGGUUCAAUAGUGAAAGACGGUUUUGCUGUCACUUAUAGAUGGAUCCGCGCCGCAUUAGCUAGUUGGUAAGGUAACGGCUUACCAAGGCAACGAUGCGUAGCCGACCUGAGAGGGUGAUCGGCCACACUGGAACUGAGACACGGUCCAGACUCCUACGGGAGGCAGCAGUAGGGAAUCUGCCGCAAUGGGCGAAAGCCUGACGGAGCAACGCCGCGUGAGUGAUGAAGGUCUUCGGAUCGUAAAACUCUGUUAUUAGGGAAGAACAAAUGUGUAAGUAACUAUGCACGGCUUGACGGUACCUAAUCAGAAAGCCACGGCUAACUACGUG